This 7738-nucleotide long non-coding RNA is filed under the name Lupinus angustifolius (narrow-leaved blue lupine). RNAcentral describes it as "long non-coding RNA (LANG_LNC003169)". Lineage: Eukaryota; Viridiplantae; Streptophyta; Magnoliopsida; Fabales; Fabaceae. The record is from RNAcentral.
UCCUCUACCUCGUGAGAAGUGCGCUGGUCCAUCUUGCACCAAUCCGUAUAAGUACCGGCAUUCAAAAUUGAAGCUUCCUCUUUGCAGUCUCGAAUGCUACAAGGCUGUCGAGAAGAUUGCGGCUGAUGAAGCAAGUGCCCAGGAGAAUAUGGCGGCUGAUGAAGCUAGUGCCCAGGAGAAUAUGGCGGCUGAUGAAGCUAGUGCCCAGGAGAAUACGGCGGCUGAUGAAGCAAGUGCCCAGGAGAAUACGGCGGCUGAUGAAGCAAGUGCCCAGGAGAAUACGGCGGCUGAUGAAGCAAGUGCCCAGGAGAAUACGGCGGCUGAUGAAGCAAGUGCCCAGGAGAAUACGGCAGCUGAUGAAGCAAGUGCCCAGGAGAAGACGGCAGCUGAGUAAACUACCUCUUGAUGUUCUGAAUGACUAUUACUGGUUUAGGCCAGUACUAUGAAACCCUUGAUGCUUUUAUGGUGUUCUUAUGGCAAAGAACUCAUAUUGAGGAUUGUUUAUUUGCUGGUAGAAAUAUCUAGUUUAUUGGAAAUGGAUACUGCAUGUAGAUAGACAUGUUUUGUUCAUUGCUUUGGCUUUUUUGAGUUGCAACUCUAGACAAUUAGUAGGUGUAAGUGCCUAAGAAUAAAAUUGCAAAACUCAUUCAUAUUUGGCCGCUUUUAUAAAAUUGUUUUGAACCAGAUUUCAUUUCCCCCUCCCAUGUCAUCAAGUGGAGGAUAUGAUGGUAUUCAUGAUGUUUAAUAUGAUUAAUGGUUAUCUGGCCUAGGUUGGGCUAGAGGAACAUCAAAAGAUAAAUUUUCUGGAGGAUUUGGAAGGAGUAGUCCAAAUAAUAUCUUUAGGAGAAAAGAUUUUUUGUGGAGGCGAUCUUAAUCGACAUGUAGGGAGAGAUACUAGAGGAUUUGAAGAUGUUCAUGGUGAAUAUGGCAUACGAGAAUCAAACAAGGAAGGUAAGGCUAUUUUAGACUUCUCAUUAGUUUUUGAUUUUACAAUAGUCGAUAUGUGUUUUAAGAAGUGGGAGAAAGAUCUUAUCACAUAUAAGAGUGAAGUUGUACGUUCUCAAAUCGAUUUCUUUCUUAUAAGGAAAUCAAAUAUGAAGUUUUGCUUGUAUUAUAAAGUCAUCCUUAGAGAGAUUGACGAAUCAACAUAGAGUUUUGGUUAUGGAUGUUAGGGUUAAGAUUAGAGUCGACAGAAAAGGACAAUAAAAGGUCCUAAGGAUUAAAUGGUGAAAAUUGAAGGGACAUGUACGUAAGAGCUUCAAUCAAAAGGUUUUAGAAGGUAUAAGGAAGUUCUGAUGAUAUGUGGGAGGAGAUGACCAAAAGAAUUAGGAAGAUAUCAAAUGAGAUAUUAGGCGAAUCUAGAGGCUCUGGACCAAAGGAUAAAAAAUCAUGGUUGGACAAACGUGUCCAAUACAAAGUUAAGAUGAAAAGUGGAUAUUAUAAAUCAUGAUCAUUGUGUAAAAAAAUUCAAGGUUGGAAAACACAAGGUAGCUAAGAAAGAUAGCAAGAAAGUGGUAAGCGAAGCUAAAAAUAAAGCGUAUGAUAAGUUAUACAAAUCUCUAGGUACCGAGUAAGGAAAUAAUUGUCUACUAACUUGCAAAGUUUGGGGAAAGAAAGACAAGAGACUUGGACCAAGUGAAAUACGUUGAAGAUGAAGAUGCAAUUUUUAUGGUAAAAGACAAAUAUAUGAAUGAAAGAUAAAAGAACUAUUUUCACUAGUAUUUCAAUGAGUGACAUGAUUCCUUGCUUUGUGAUAGAUAAACAAAAAAGAUGAAGAUUAAAAUUAUAUAUUUUUAUCGUGGAAUUCGAGAGUGAGAGGAGAAAGAAGCUUUUAAAAGGAUGGAAAAUAACAAAGCGGUUGAACAAGAUAAUAUACAUAUUGAGACAUAAAAGGUUUUAGGAGAGUAUGACAUAAGAUGACUCCCAAAGUUGUUUAAUGAGAUAAUGAGUUUAAGAAGAUGUCAAACGAGUAGAGGAAAAACAUCUUAAUCCCUAUUUAUAAGAACACGGGUGACAUACAAAAUUAUGCAAACUAUAGGGGAUUAAACUCAUGAGUCAUAAUAUGAAGUUAUGUGAGAGAAUGAUUGAGGGGAAGUUGAGACAAGCGAAUAUCAAUUAAAACAUUUGCUUUUAUGUCAUGGAGGUCAACCAUGGAGGCUAUAUACUUGCUAUGACGAUUGAUGGAAAUGCAUCAACAAAAACAAAGAGAUUUGCAUAUGAUCUUCAUUGAUAUGGAGAAGACAUACGGUAAGGUGCAUAUGGAGGUUUGAUGGAAAGCUCUAGAAUGAAAUGUGAUCGAAUUGCCUAUACUCGAGCAAUUAAAGAUAUCUAUGUUGGGUCAAGACCAUUGUAUGAACACAAGACAAGGUCUCAUAAGAUUUUUUUAUUGCUAUAAGACUACACUAAAGGUUAAUAUUGAGCUCUUACUUGUUUACAUUGUCUUGGAUGUGCUCAUUCAAUGUAUCUAAGAACCAUUGACAUAAUGCAUGUUUUUGUGUGAAUGAUAUUAUUUUAGUGCGAGACUCGAUAAAGAAAUUAAAUGAGAAGUUAGAAAUGUUGAGACAAACUUUAAAAACACACAAGUUUCGUGUAAUUCGAAGUAAAACGAAAUAUAUGGACUACAAGUCUAGCAAGAAGCUGACAAAAUCUACUAUAUAUGCAAAGAUUAUGGAUCAUAUCAUCAGUUCAUGAGUAGAUUUAGGUAUAGUGUCAAUCAUAUAAGAUGAUAAGAAAAUUGAUGGAGAUAUGAACCAUAUGAUUCAAGCUGCUUGAUGAAAAGGCGGAGUGCUACAUGUGUCACAUAUAUGAUAAAAAGGUAUCACUCAAGGUUAAGGGAGGCUUUAUCUCCGAUUAUAAGAUCUGCAAUGUUAUGAGACUGAAUAUUGGACAAUUAAAUGUCAAUAAGAGAAUAGACUUCAUGUAACUAAGAUGACAAUGUUGUGUUGGAUGAGUAAACAAACUAGAGAAUAUGAGAUUAGAAAUGAAUGUAUUAAGGAGAACAUUUGGAAUAACGCCUAUUGUAAAAAGAUGAUAGAGUCGCACCUUAAGUGAUUUGAACAUGUGUGGAGAAAACCAGCAGAAGCUCCCAUAAGGAUACCAAAUCAAAUAAAAGCUAGUCCAAUUCCUAUAGGAUGAGAGAUAUCAAUAAAAACCAAAGAGUAAAUAAUCAUGGUGGUGGGACAAUAAUGUCCAAGACAACAAAGUUAAGGUAAAAAUGGAAUAUGAUAAAUCAUGAUCAUUGUGUAAAAUUCUAAAGGUUAGACAGAUAUUAGGUAACUAAGAAAAAUAGUAAGAAAGCAGUAACCCAAAGCUAAAAAUAAAAUAUAUGGCGGGUUAUACUAAUCUUUAGGUACCAAUGGACGGAAAAGAAAUGUCUAUAGAUUUGCAAAUGAUAGAAAAAGAAAGACAAGAGACUUGGACCAAGUGAAAGCAUUACAGAUAAAGAUGGAAAUACUUUGGUGAAUGACAAAGAUAUGAAGGAAAAAUGAAAUAAUUAUUUUCGCAAGCGUUUCAACAAAUGACAUGAUUCCUUGCUUUAUGAGAGACUACACUCAAAAGAGAAAGAUAAUUAUAUAUAUUUAUUGUGGAAUUCGAGAGUUUGAGGUGAAAGAAGCUUUUAAAAGGAUGGAAAAUGGCAAAGCGGUUGAACCAGAUAAUAUACAUAUUGAGGCAUGAAAGGUUAUAGGAGAGUAUGACAUUAGAUGGCUCCCAAAGUUGUUUAAUGAGAUUAUAAGACUAAGAAGAUGCCAAAUGAGCAAAGGAGAAACAUCUUAAUCCCUAUUUAUAAGAAUAAGGGUGAUAUACAAAAUUAUGCAAACUAUAAGGAAUUAAACUCAUGAGUCAUAAUAUGAAGUUAUAUGAGAGGAUGAUUGAGCGAAGGUUGAGCAGAGAUUGAGACAAGAGACAAACAUCAAUGAAUUUUUUUGCUUUUAUGUCGCGGAGGUCGACCAUGGAGGCUAUAAACGUGCUACGACGAUUGAUUGAAAGACAUUGAUGGAAACAAAGGGAAUUCACAUCAUCUUCAUUGAUUUAGAGAAAGCGUAUGAUAAGACGCAUAGAGAGGUUUGGACGAAAGCUCUAGAGAAGACAUGUGACCAAAUUGCCUAUACUCGAGCAAUUAACGAUAUGUAUGAUGAAUCAAGACCUUCGUGAGAACACAAGACAAGGUCUUAGAAGAUUCUCCUAUUGUUAUAAGACUACACAAAGAGUCAACAUUGAGCUUUUACUUGUUUAAAUUGGUAUUGGAUGUGCUCACUCAACAUAUCCAAGAACCAUUGCCACAAUGCAUGUUUUUUGCUGAUGAUAUUGUCUUAGUGUGAGACUCAAUAGAAAAAUUAAAUGGAAGUAAGAAAUGUUGAGACAAACUCUAAAAGCACAUGAAUUUCAUAUAAUUUGAAGUAAGAUAGAAUAUAUGUUGUAUAAGUUUAGUAAUGGCAGACAAACUCUACUACAGAGGUAAAGAUUAUGGAUCAUCAUCACUAGAUUUAGGUAUAUUGGGUCUAUCAUACAAGAGGAUGAGAAAAUCGAUGGAGAUGUGAACCAUAUGAUUCAAGCUGCUUGGAUGAAAUGGCGGAGUGCUACAUGUGUAACAUAUUUGAUAAAAAUGUAUCAUUCAAGCUUAUGAGGAAGUUUUACCGCACAAUUAUAAGAUCUACAAUUUUAUAUGAGACUGAAUGUUGGAUAAUAAAAUGUUAAUAAAAGAAUAGACUUCAUGCAAUAGAGAUGAUAAUAUUGUGUUGGAUGAGUAGACAAACUAGAGAAAAUAGAAUUAGGAAUGGAUGCAAUAAGGAGAAAGAUGGAAAAACGCCUAUUAUAAAAAGAUGGUAGAAUCGUGCCUUAAGUGAUUUGAAUAUGUAUGGAGGAGACCAUGUAAGGAUAUCAUAUUAAAUGGAAGCUAGUCCUAUUCCUAUAGGAAGAGAGGUACCAAUAAAAACCAUAGACAAAAUGAUUAAGAAAGACUUAGAGAUAAAUGAUUCAUCAAUGAACAUAAUUUAUAAUAACAUUAUAAUAUCAUUUAGUCCAUAUGUAAAAGACCACACCUAAUGUGAUAAAAACUUAGUUGUUAUUGUUGAUAUUGGCAAGAUAUUUUUUUCCAAAAAUCUUGUUUGAGGUCAUUAGUUAAUUUUUUAUAUGUUUAUUUUUUGUCUUCCAUAGAAAAUUACAUGAAAUUAAAUAUAUGCAAGGCAAUGGGAACACACUCACAUCUAAGGUAAAGUUUUAGAUUUUAUCCAUGGUAGUUGUUCCAUAUUAAAUUACACAUAUUUUUAGAAAACUUACAAAAGAAAAGAAUAGAGAUGUAAAGUGUGAUAAAAAAACAAUUUUUUUCCUAUAAGCAAAUCCAUUAGUCAGGACAAGGGGGUACUUAACCCAUUACAGAAAGGUUACAGCAAUUGUUGAAUACAUUGUAAUGGAAAUAAACAUCAAUUCGAGUAAGAUACAUUCUUAUAUAUAAAUCUCAAAGUAAUUUUAAGAACACAUAUCAAUAAAAAAAAUCUUUAUAAUAUUCACAUGAUCAAUAUUACAAAUAAGAGGUAAGAUCCAUUUACUCCAGAAGUAAGUUAAAAUAAUCUAUUCCACAUCUUAGCUAUCAAUCCUCUGAAAAUUUAAUGAUUCACAUAAUUUAAAUUAAUCAGUAAUUUUGAACGAUUAGACUUUUAUAGAAUGAAUAACUAUAUAGACGAGAUCGCAUGAAGGAUAGGAAGAAUUCAAUCAUGGAUUGAUAUGCUACCAUAUUCAUAUCCAGCCAUCUAAACACCAAGUCCCAAAGAGCAUAUAACUUGUGAGAGAAAAAAAAUAGUAUAAGGUGACAUUUUUUAAUUUAAAUAUAAUGUGAUGACAUUUUUAUUUUUGACUAAAAAAAGGAAAGCAAAAACUUACAUUUUUAGUAUUGGAGAUCAUUCUUUUUGAAAAGAUUAUCCCCAUAUGGCAAACGAUAAAUUAUAAGUUGCUAAUUAAAAGUAAUAAGUUGUCUUGGAGCCUUUACCAUCUAAGGGUUAGUUUGGGAGUUGGAUUUUGGAGGGGAAGGAAAGGAAAAUGAAGACUUGGAAACCAUGACAUAUACUUGUUUCAUAGCUCCCAAGCCUUUCCUUUCCCCCUUCCCCUCCAAAAUCCAACUCAUAAACUAACCCUAAAGGAACUUGAUGACAUUAUCAUCACUUGUAUUAAUCAAGAUAUGAUGCAAGUGAAUUAUAGGUUCAAUAACCAAGAAUAAGCAGAUUUCACUAAGUGUCACCACUACUAUCAAGAUUCCAGUGUAAAACAUUCGAUCAACUCUAAUCUAGCCACAUGUCUUUGAAAAAGUGCAGAACUGUUGAUACAAGGAUGACAAGUCCAAGAAAAGAAUAAGAUAGGUUGUCCGAAGUUAUGUUCCGUACCAAUAAUAACAAAAUAAAAACAGAAAAAAUAACAAAUAUUUAAUUUUUUAUUUGACAUAAAUGUUUUUAUUAGUAUAACACAUGAUUUAUGACAUGCAACCAAAAGAGAAUCCACAUAUUUCAACAAUUUCCACCUUCCAUUUCACUAACAAUGACAAAUUAAAAUUUAAAAAAAAAUUGUAAUCAAAUCACCUUCUACCACUGGUCUACACAGUAAGUGACACCUGACUCAUGCACUCUUUUGAACCUUAUCACAUAGAAAAUUCCUUUGGAUGCUAUUAAUUGAUCGCAACAUUUUACUUGGGAGCUAAAAAAAGAGAAAUGAUAUACAAGUAAAUUUGUUAAUAACGAAUUGAAACAACUUAUUUUUAAUAUAAACACCCAUUCAAUCUUAUAAAAUAGGUGACAUGAAUCAAUUUUUUCACUGAAAUUUCACUCAAUUAGUUAUUGAACUAUGGAACUUUAUAUAAUAGUAAUUUAAUCAUUAAAAUUUGAUUCAAUUAAUCAAAUCAACUUAGCCUUCAGCAUGAUUUCUUACAAAUAUAACACCAUUAAUACUUACUAGAGAUUACUAUAUGAAGAUGGUAAUCAUACAUGACUGGAAAAUGAAAUUCCUAGGGUAAAUGAAUAGUGUGAAUCUUAAAUUUCAUUUUUUACUAUGACUAAUUAUAUUCUCUCACCCUAUGAAUAAGGAAUUAAAUCCUUCAUGUAUAUAGUUGCGCUUUCUCCUCUUGGUCUAUCUGAUUAGACUAAUGUUUUGUUGAUAUAUUAAAUUCAUUUUACUCCAAUAAUAAAAACACUAUUGUAAGUGAUUUUAAUUUUAAUGGACAAUAUCCCCAUAUGUUGGAAACUUUGGUUCAACAAAUCCAUCCCAAAACAAUUAAUAUUUGGUGAUCAUAGUGCAACUACAAACCUUAAAGAGAGAUUAGUUUCUUAUUUGUCAAACCAAAAAAGGGAGAGGGUCCAUUGAUACUGAUCCCAUUCCUUCAAAUUCAGAUACAAACUAAGGCACAAUAUGGUCGAUUCUGAAGAAUAGCUGAUGAAGCAAGUGCCCAGGAGAAGACGGCAGCUGAGUAAACUACCUCUUGAUGUUCUGAAUGACUAUUACUGGUUUAGGCCAGUACUAUGAAACCCUUGAUGCUUUUAUGGUGUUCUUAUGGCAAAGAACUCAUAUUGAGGAUUGUUUAUUUGCUGGUAGAAAUAUCUAGUUUAUUGGAAAUGGAUACUGCAUGUAGAUAGACAUGUUUUGUUCAUUGCUUUGGCUUUUUUGAGUUGCAACUCUAGACAAUUAGUAGGUGUAAGUGCCUAAGAAUAAAAUUGCAAAACUCAUUCAUAUUUGGCCGCUUUUAUAAAAUUGUUUUGAA